GAGUUUGAUCCUGGCUCAGAUUGAACGCUGGCGGCAUGCCUUACACAUGCAAGUCGAGCGGCAGCGCGGGGCGAACCGCGACGGGUGCGUAACACGUGAGCAACCUAACCGAUUUGUCGGGGGAGUAGCUGUCCUAACGGGCGAGGUAAUACCGCAUACGCUCAUCGAGUCUCCUGGCUUGAUGAGGAAACCUCCGGGGCGAGAUCGAGGGGCGUCGCGGCCUAUCAGCUAGUUGGCGAGGUCACGGCUCACCAAGGCGACGACGGGUAGGCUGGUCUGAGAGGAUGGCCAGCCACAUUGGGACUGAGAAACGGCCCAGACUCCUACGGGAGGGCAGCAGUGGGGAAUCUUGCGCAAUGGGCGAAAGCCUGACGCAGCGACGCCGCGUGGGGGAGUGACGGGUUUCGGCUUGUAAACCCCUCGUUGCCCGGGACGGAACUUCUCCUUUCGAGGAGAUUGACGGUACCGGGUGAGGAAGCACCGGCUAACUCUGUGCCAGCAGCCGCCGUAAG
RNAcentral lists this ribosomal RNA (512 nucleotides) under uncultured Gemmatimonadota bacterium. RNAcentral describes it as "bacterial SSU rRNA". It matches the Rfam family "Bacterial small subunit ribosomal RNA", at positions 9 to 524 of the family's 1533-position model. Lineage: Bacteria; Pseudomonadati; Gemmatimonadota. The record is from RNAcentral.